RNAcentral lists this long non-coding RNA (594 nucleotides) under Drosophila guanche. The record is from RNAcentral. Lineage: Eukaryota; Metazoa; Arthropoda; Insecta; Diptera; Drosophilidae.
GGGUUUCAUUUAUGAAAUACACUUGUAACAGUGUUAGCAAAUAGAAGUCUGGAUGCAAAAAUUGAUUGCCCUAUCUGUUAUGGUUUCUGAGUACUAGGCGCUCAUAAGGACGGACAGACGGACGGGCAGACAGACAUCGCUCAAUCGACUCGGCUAUUGAUGCUGAUCAAGAAUAUUUAUACUUUAUGGGAUCGGAAACGUUUCUUUCUGUGCGUUACAAACAUCCGUUGCACAGCACCCCCCAAUACCGACGCCUUGGAGAGGCAGCUAAGCAACAUUGCGGCUGCCCGACAUUCUGGCAAAGUAGAGGGGGAGGCUGGGCCAUCGACCAGCGCAGAAGCCAAACGAUUCACGUACGCCGAAAAGAAGAGUUAAGGGCACAUACUCCGUCGGCAAUACGCGAGCACAGAAGCUAGCCCAUCAGAGGACUGGCUGAAGAAGGUGAAGUGGGCCUCGGAAGUGCUUCCAGACUUCAGUCUGGAACCUCACAGACCGCCCCAGCAACCCAAAAGGCAACGCUCGCAAGAGACGCCUGGACCAGCUGCAAAGCGAUCCAGGAUACUGUCGAACGUGUCCAUUGCGCAAAUUGCCAAG